AACUUUCAACAACGGAUCUCUUGGCUCUCGUAUCGAUGAAGAACACAGCGAAAUGUGAUAAGUAAUGUGAAUUGCAGAAUCCUCUGAAUCAUCAAAUCUUUGAACGCC
Molecule: ribosomal RNA, 108 nt
Filed under: uncultured fungus
Lineage: Eukaryota; Fungi
Description: 5.8S ribosomal RNA
Rfam family: 5.8S ribosomal RNA
About the family: 5.8S ribosomal RNA (5.8S rRNA) is a component of the large subunit of the eukaryotic ribosome.
Source: RNAcentral